RNAcentral lists this ribosomal RNA (452 nucleotides) under uncultured bacterium. RNAcentral describes it as "bacterial SSU rRNA". It matches the Rfam family "Bacterial small subunit ribosomal RNA", at positions 28 to 507 of the family's 1533-position model. The record is from RNAcentral.
GAUGAACGCUGGCGGCGUGCCUAACACAUGCAAGUCGAACGGUAGCAGGUCUAGUUUACUAGAUGCUGACGAGUGGCGGACGGCUGAGUAACGCGUGGGAACGUGCCCUAAAGUGAGGGAUAAACGCACCGAAAGGUGUGCUAAUACCGCAUAUGAUCUUCGGAUUAAAGAAUUUAUUCGCUUUAGGAGCGGCCCGCGUCGGAUUAGGUUGUUGGUGAGGUAAUGGCUCACCAAGCCGACGAUCCGUAGCUGGUCUGAGAGGAUGACCAGCCAGACUGGAACUGAGACACGGUCCAGACUCCUACGGGAGGCAGCAGUGAGGAAUCUUCCACAAUGGGCGAAAGCCUGAUGGAGCAACGCCGCGUGCAGGAUGAAGGCCUUCGGGUCGUAAACUGCUUUUAUUAGUGAAGAAUAUGACGGUAACUAAUGAAUAAGGAUCGGCUAACUACGUG